Molecule: transfer RNA, 85 nt
Filed under: Chlorella variabilis
Lineage: Eukaryota; Viridiplantae; Chlorophyta; Trebouxiophyceae; Chlorellales; Chlorellaceae
Description: tRNA-Leu
Source: RNAcentral
UGGGGAUAGAGAGACUUGAACUCUCACGGUUCAAUGGAAGUUGUACCUUUAAGUCCGUUGCGUCUGCCGAUUCCGCCAUAUCCCC